Molecule: ribosomal RNA, 602 nt
Filed under: uncultured bacterium
Lineage: Bacteria
Description: bacterial SSU rRNA
Rfam family: Bacterial small subunit ribosomal RNA (bases 1-529)
Source: RNAcentral
CCUACGGGAGGCAGCAGUAGGGAAUAUUGGGCAAUGGGCGAAAGCCUGACCCAGCCGCGCCGCGUGCAGGAAGACGGCCCUCUGGGUUGUAAACUGCUUUUAACUGGGAAGAAAGAAGCCCAUGCGUGGGAAGUUGACGGUACCAGUUGAAUAAGCCACGGCUAACUACGUGCCAGCAGCCGCGGUAAUACGUAGGUGGCAAGCGUUAUCCGGAUUUAUUGGGUUUAAAGGGUGCGUAGGCGGUUCAAUAAGUCAGUGGUUAAAGGUAGCAGCUUAACUGUUUUACAUGCCACUGAUACUGCUGAACUUGAGUUGACAGAAGGCAGAUAGAAUUUCUGGUGUAGCGGUGAAAUGCUUAGAUACCAGAAGGAAUACCGAUUGCGAAGGCAGUCUGCUGCAGUCACACUGACGCUGAGGCACGAAAGUGCGGGGAUCAAACAGGAUUAGAUACCCUGGUAGUCCGCACAGUAAACGAUGAUUACUAGAUGUUGGUGNGAGCAGUGUCGAGGAACGAAGUAAGUAAUACACCNGGAGUACGCGCGACGAGAACGUAAUAGUAGUAGACGNGUGAGACGNGCGACGGACGACGACGAGGGAGGAGG